This is a long non-coding RNA of Apis dorsata (giant honeybee), 271 nucleotides long. RefSeq lists it as uncharacterized. The transcript is spliced from 2 exons. Lineage: Eukaryota; Metazoa; Arthropoda; Insecta; Hymenoptera; Apidae. The record is from RefSeq and is a predicted model, not a curated record.
UAAAAUUGUAUCUGUGUGCCAGAUUAUCGUUUGAUUGCAAUUUCGAAGACAGAAUAAGUUCGAAAGUGAAUAAUUUUUGUGCAUAUCGUGACAAUUAGGAGAUAAUCCGACGAUUUUUAUGCUAAAAAUAUGUCUUUCUAGGAAAUUGACGGUCACACGUUCCAAAUUGUCGAAUCGCUGAAUGUAUCCCCUCUCUAAUUUAUAAUUCGAAAUCAAAACACGGCGUAUCAUUUGAUUAUUGAAAUUCGUAAUGGCUAGACGCUUUAAGUAU